This is a long non-coding RNA of Leptopilina boulardi, 4164 nucleotides long. RefSeq lists it as uncharacterized. Lineage: Eukaryota; Metazoa; Arthropoda; Insecta; Hymenoptera; Figitidae. The transcript has 3 exons. The record is from RefSeq and is a predicted model, not a curated record.
UUUUUUCAGUGUAGCAAUAUUUGAUAAAUCUGAUAGGAAAUUUUAGUAUUCUCUUUUUCAAACGCGGAACAUUUAAGUUUGAUAACGAAAAUCGGUAUAUUUUUACGAAUAGUCUUUUUAGUAAAUAUAUUCCAGAAAUUGAAAUUAUUAUUUCGUAAAUUGAUAAAUUUAUACGAAAAACCAGAAGUAAGUUAAUCCGACGCGCACUUCGUUAUUUACUAAAUUUAUAUGAAAAUUUGGAAAGAUUAUUUCGAAAUUUGUUAAAACUAUACUAAAAAUUCGAAGUGGUUCAGUCGUGACAGAAGACGACAGACACACCAAUAGAUUCUACGCCAAAGUUUUAUCUCUUUCUCAUCUCGAUAAUGGAUUUUGGUUGGGUAUAUUUUUGGAGAAUUUUUGGCGGUAUUUUUAAGAAAAAAGCCGAACACCAUAGGGUGAAAAAUAACACUUUUAUUUUUCAUCACCUAUAGGGGUGGCUUUUAGGGGUGCGAGCGCCGCAUGUGGAUAAUGGAUUUUGGUUGGGUAUAUUUUUAGAGAAUUUUUGGCGGUAUUUUUAAGAAAAAAGCCGAACACCAAAGGGUGAAAAAUGACACUUUUAUUUUCACCAUCUAUAGGGGUGGCUUUUAGGGGUGCGAGCGCCGCAUGUGGAUAAUGAAUUUUGGUUAGGUAUAUUUUUAGAGAAUUUUUGGCGGUAUUUUUAAGAAAAAAGCCGAACACCAAAGGGUGAAAAAUGACACUUUUAUUUUAAUCAUCUAUAGGGGUGGCUUUUAGGGGUGCGAGCGCCGCAUGUGGAUAAUGGAUUUUAGUUGGGUAUAUUUUUAGAGAAUUUUUGGCGGUAUUUUUAAGAAAAAAGCCGAACACCAAAGGGUGAAAAAUGACACUUUUAUUUUAAUCAUCUAUAGGGGUGGCUUUUAGGGGUGCGAGCGCCGCAUGUGGAUAAUGGAUUUUGGUUGGGUAUAUUUUUAGAGAAUUUUUGGCGGUAUUUUUAUGAAAAAAGCCGAACACCAAACGUGGAAAAAUGACACUUUUAUUUUCACCAUCUAUAGGGGUGGCUUUUAGGGGUGAGAGCGCCGCAUGUGGAUAAUGGAUUUUGGUUGGGUAUAUUUUUAGAGAAUUUUUGGCGGUAUUUUUAAGAAAAAAGCCGAACACCAAAGGGUGAAAAAUGACACUUUUAUUUUAAUCAUCUAUAGGGGUGGCUUUUAGGGGUGCGAGCGCCGCAUGUGGAUAAUGGAUUUUAGUUGGGUAUAUUUUUAGAGAAUUUUUGGCGGUAUUUUUAAGAAAAAAGCCGAACACCAAAGGGUGAAAAAUGACACUUUUAUUUUUCACCUUCUAUAGGGGUGGCUUUUAGGGGUGCGAGCGCCGCAUGUGGAUAAUGGAUUUUGGUUGGGUAUAUUUUUAGAGAAUUUUUGGCGGUAUUUUUAUGAAAAAAGCCGAACACCAAAGGGUGAAAAAUGACACUUUAUUUUAAUCAUCUAUAGGGGUGGCUUUUAGGGGUGCGAGCGCCGCAUGUGGAUAAUGGAUUUUGGUUGGGUAUAUUUUUAGAGAAUUUUUGGCGGUAUUUUUAAGAAAAAAGCCGAACACCAAAGGGUGAAAAAUGACACUUUUAUUUUAAUCAUCUAUAGGGGUGGCUUUUAGGGGUGCGAGCGCCGCAUGUGGAUAAUGGAUUUUAGUUGGGUAUAUUUUUAGAGAAUUUUUGGCGGUAUUUUUAAGAAAAAAGCCGAACACCAAAGGGUGAAAAAUGACACUUUUAUUUUUCACCUUCUAUAGGGGUGGCUUUUAGGGGUGCGAGCGCCGCAUGUGGAUAAUGGAUUUUGGUUGGGUAUAUUUUUAGAGAAUUUUUGGCGGUAUUUUUAUGAAAAAAGCCGAACACCAAAGGGUGAAAAAUGACACUUUAUUUUAAUCAUCUAUAGGGGUGGCUUUUAGGGGUGCGAGCGCCGCAUGUGGAUAAUGGAUUUUGGUUAGGUAUAUUUUUAGAGAAUUUUUGGCGGUAUUUUUAAGAAAAAAGCCGAACACCAAAGGGUGAAAAAUGACACUUUUAUUUUUUACCUUCUAUAGGGGUGGCUUUUAGGGGUGCGAGCGCCGCAUGUGGAUAAUGGAUUUUGGUUGGGUAUAUUUUUAGAGAAUUUUUGGCGGUAUUUUUAAGAAAAAAGCCGAACACCAAAGGGUGAAAAAUGACACUUUUAUUUUCACCAUCUAUAGGGGUGGCUUUUAGGGGUGCGAGCGCCGCAUGUGGAUAAUGGAUUUUGGUUGGGUAUAUUUUUAGAGAAUUUUUGGCGGUAUUUUUAAGAAAAAAGCCGAACACCAAAGGGUGAAAAAUGACACUUUUAUUUUCACCAUCUAUAGGGGUGGCUUUUAGGGGUGCGAGCGCCGCAUGUGGAUAAUAGAUUUUGGUUGGGUAUAUUUUUAGAGAAUUUUUGGCGGUAUUUUUAUGAAAAAAGCCGAACACCAAACGUGGAAAAAUGACACUUUUAUUUUCACCAUCUAUAGGGGUGGCUUUUAGGGGUGCGAGCGCCGCAUGUGGAUAAUGGAUUUUGGUUGAGUAUAUUUUUAGAGAAUUUUUGGCGGUAUUUUUAAGAAAAAAGCCGAACACCAAAGGGUGAAAAAUGACACUUUUAUUUUAAUCAUCUAUAGGGGUGGCUUUUAGGGGUGCGAGCGCCGCAUGUGGAUAAUGGAUUUUGGUUGGGUAUAUUUUUAGAGAAUUUUUGGCGGUAUUUUUAAGAAAAAAGCCGAACACCAAAGGGUGAAAAAUGACACUUUUAUUUUAAUCAUCUAUAGGGGUGGCUUUUAGGGGUGCGAGCGCCGCAUGUGGAUAAUGGAUUUUAGUUGGGUAUAUUUUUAGAGAAUUUUUGGCGGUAUUUUUAAGAAAAAAGCCGAACACCAAAGGGUGAAAAAUGACACUUUUAUUUUUCACCUUCUAUAGGGGUGGCUUUUAGGGGUGCGAGCGCCGCAUGUGGAUAAUGGAUUUUGGUUGGGUAUAUUUUUAGAGAAUUUUUGGCGGUAUUUUUAUGAAAAAAGCCGAACACCAAAGGGUGAAAAAUGACACUUUAUUUUAAUCAUCUAUAGGGGUGGCUUUUAGGGGUGCGAGCGCCGCAUGUGGAUAAUGGAUUUUGGUUGGGUAUAUUUUUAGAGAAUUUUUGGCGGUAUUUUUAAGAAAAAAGCCGAACACCAAAGGGUGAAAAAUGACACUUUUAUUUUCACCAUCUAUAGGGGUGGCUUUUAGGGGUGCGAGCGCCGCAUGUGGAUAAUGGAUUUUGGUUGGGUAUAUUUUUAGAGAAUUUUUGGCGGUAUUUUUAAGAAAAAAGCCGAACACCAAAGGGUGAAAAAUGACACUUUUAUUUUAAUCAUCUAUAGGGGUGGCUUUUAGGGGUGCGAGCGCCGCAUGUGGAUAAUGGAUUUUGGUUGGGUAUAUUUUUAGAGAAUUUUUGGCGGUAUUUUUAAGAAAAAAGCCGAACACCAAAGGGUGAAAAAUGACACUUUUAUUUUCACCAUCUAUAGGGGUGGCUUUUAGGGGUGCGAGCGCCGCAUGUGGAUAAUAGAUUUUGGUUGGGUAUAUUUUUAGAGAAUUUUUGGCGGUAUUUUUAUGAAAAAAGCCGAACACCAAACCUGGAAAAAUGACACUUUUAUUUUCACCAUCUAUAGGGGUGGCUUUUAGGGGUGCGAGCGCCGCAUGUGGAUAAUGGAUUUUGGUUGGGUAUAUUUUUAGAGAAUUUUUGGCGGUAUUUUUAAGAAAAAAGCCGAACACCAAAGGGUGAAAAAUGACACUUUUAUUUUAAUCAUCUAUAGGGGUGGCUUUUAGGGGUGCGAGCGCCGCAUGUGGAUAAUGGAUUUUAGUUGGGUAUAUUUUUAGAGAAUUUUUGGCGGUAUUUUUAAGAAAAAAGCCGAACACCAAAGGGUGAAAAAUGACACUUUUAUUUUUCACCUUCUAUAGGGGUGGCUUUUAGGGGUGCGAGCGCCGCAUGUGGAUAAUGGAUUUUGGUUGGGUAUAUUUUUAGAGAAUUUUUGGCGGUAUUUUUAAGAAAAAAGCCGAACACCAAAGGGUGAAAAAUGACACUUUUAUUUUCACCAUCUAUAGGGGUGGCUUUUAGGGGUGCGAGCGCCGCAUGUGGAUAAUGGAUUUUGGUUGGGUAUAUUUUUAGAGAAUUUUUGGCGGUAUUUUUAUGAAUA